RNAcentral lists this long non-coding RNA (1022 nucleotides) under Salmo salar (Atlantic salmon). RNAcentral describes it as "lncRNA (ENSSSAG00000101322.1)". Lineage: Eukaryota; Metazoa; Chordata; Actinopteri; Salmoniformes; Salmonidae. The record is from RNAcentral.
CUGGCUCCACCACUAUCACUAGCAGGUCUACUGGACUGAGUGGAUACAUCUCCACCACUAUCACUAGCAGGCCUACUGGACUGAGUGGAUACAUCUCCACGUGUGGAGGUACUGGCUCCACCACUAUCACUAGCAGGUCUACUGGACUGAGUGGAUACAUCUCCACCACUAUCACUAGCAGGCCUACUGGACUGAGUGGAUACAUGUCCAUGUGUGGAGGUACUGGCUCCACCACUAUCACUAGCAGGUCUACUGGACUGACUGGACACAUCUCCACCACUAUCACUAGCAGGUCUACUGGACUGAGUGGAUACAUCUCCAUGUGUGGAGGUACUGGCUCCACCACUAUCACUAGCAGGUCUACUGGACUGAGUGGAUACAUCUCCACCACUAUCACUAGCAGGCCUACUGGACUGAAUGGAUACAUCUCCACGUGUGGAGGUGCUGGCUCCACCACUAUCACUAGCAUGUCUACUUGACUGAGUGGAUACAUCUCCACGUGUGGAGGUGCUGGCUCCACCACUAUCACUAGCAUGUCUACUUGACUGAGUGGAUACAUCUCCACGUGUGGAGGUGCUGGCUCCACCACUAUCACUAGCAGGCCUACUGGACUGAGUGGGUACUGGCUCCACCACUAUCACUAGCAGGUCUACUGGACUGACUGGACACAUCUCCACCACUAUCACUAGCAGGUCUACUGGACUGAGUGGAUACAUCUCCACCACUAUCACUAGCAGGUCUACUGGACUGAGUGGAUACAUCUCCACCACUAUCACUAGCAGGUCUACUGGACUGAGUGGAUACAUCCCCACCACUAUCACUAGCAGGUCUACUGGACUGAGUGGAUACAUCUCCACCACUAACACUAGCAGGUCUACUGGACUGAGUGGAUACAUCUCCACCACUAUCACUAGCAGGUCUACUGGACUGAGUGGAUACAUAUCCACCACUAUCACUAGCAGGCCUACUGGACUGAGUGGAUACAUCUCCAUGUGUGGAGGUACUGGCUCCACCACUAUCAC